This 259-nucleotide long non-coding RNA is filed under the name Sorghum bicolor (sorghum). RNAcentral describes it as "long non-coding RNA (SBIC_LNC008436)". Lineage: Eukaryota; Viridiplantae; Streptophyta; Magnoliopsida; Poales; Poaceae. The record is from RNAcentral.
CUUGCCCAGAGAAGGGUUGCUCCUGAAUCAUGGCUGUUAGAUAAGGGCCGAGGUCGUAGCCAUCUGUAAGAAUUGGAUGUGAUGAUGGUGGUGGCUCUAAUAACUCGCCCUUUGGAGCAAAGAAUUUAUAGAUAGGAGUGAAAUCCAUAUGGUAUGGUGAAAAUGGUAAGGUGAGUGUGGUAAAAAAAGGAAAAGAAAAAGGAUACACGGACGACUUGGUUCGAAACUAGCACAGCUACCGUUCCCCGGCAACAGCGCC